AUCUUUGAUCAGAAGAAUCGGAGAAGAGCUCUGAGGAUACGCCGGAACCCGAUACGGAGGCGCGGGAUAGCCCUGCCGGCAUGCUCAGAUGUCUCCCGCAGAAACUCCUCCAUCGCCUCCACGAACAGGUUGAGACUCCUCACCGGAGGCACGUACAGCGUCAGCGGCGCCGCCGAGAACGCUAUCGCCAUCAUCAACUGCAACAUCUCUGUGUUCCCUUCACAACCUCAAAUUCCUCUCUGAUAAACUGGUCUGCAA
RNAcentral lists this unclassified non-coding RNA (258 nucleotides) under Hevea brasiliensis (rubber tree). The record is from RNAcentral. Lineage: Eukaryota; Viridiplantae; Streptophyta; Magnoliopsida; Malpighiales; Euphorbiaceae.